AACAUACUCCCUCCGUCCCGAAUUAGUUGACUCAAAUUUCUCUAGAUGUAUCUAGACACAUUUUAGUGUAAGAUAAAUCCGUAUUUAGACAAAUCCAAGACAACUAACUUGGGACGGAGGUAAUAGUUG
Non-coding RNA from Triticum aestivum (bread wheat), 129 nucleotides. NCBI's taxonomy places the organism in Eukaryota, Viridiplantae, Streptophyta, Magnoliopsida, Poales, Poaceae. The record is from Rfam.